UUCACGAUCUUAGUUCAAGGGAAUGUUCGAACGGGUCAAGUCCAGGUGUUCUAACAGGAAAAUCAAUGCAACACGAAGGUAUGUAAACAAAAGUUCGAAUUUCCACGCAACAAGCCUCACACAGUGACUAUAUGACAGGUAAAGCACAAAAUCAACUACCAACUUGCAAUCAAAACUCAACACUUCACAAACAGAGCAAAUAAUUCCUAAAUUUUCUAGCACAAGCAAUGGUUGCCAAGCAAUGACAACCCCCAAUCCUAACGAUCACCCCACACGAUGAUCUGCUAAUGCUGAAAUUUAAAAAUAAGUUAAGCCAAUAUACCAGAGCGGAC
RNAcentral lists this long non-coding RNA (332 nucleotides) under Olea europaea (common olive). RNAcentral describes it as "long non-coding RNA (OEUR_LNC005707)". The record is from RNAcentral. Lineage: Eukaryota; Viridiplantae; Streptophyta; Magnoliopsida; Lamiales; Oleaceae.